GUUGUUGCAAGGUGGCUUCAAUCUAUAUCAGAUGCCAAUGACCUCACGAGGAUGGUGUAAUCGCUAGAGACAGCUGGGUAAACAGCUGCAAACAGCCACACAAGGCUUGUUUUAGGAGCUUCUCAUCACAUUAAGAUUUUGGGACUUAAAGCUUCCCUGCUUGGCUUUUAAAUAGCUUUAUGAUAAGAUCAUACAGAAUGUAUUUGCAGUUAUGGAGUUAAUGGGGCAUUUUAAAGUUAUUAUUAGGACUGAGUUACUUUGUACAACGCUAUGUGUUGUUUAGGAUGCUGUUAAGAUUUUUUCUCCUUUGUCUGUGAAUUCAGAUAUACCUGCAUCCUCACAGUAGGCUUUUCACUCUAACAAGAUGGUAUUCAUCCUGGUAGGCACUACAUAAAUCUGUUGUAUUUUAGCAGGGUCAGCUCACUACAUGCCAGUAGCACGCACUAUCAUGUGACUUUCCUCCCACCCAUUUAGCACUUUGUUUGCUUUAGGGCCAAUAACAGACUGAAUGCCUGUUUUUUGGUGAAACUACAGCAAAAGGCACAGUAACAUCAGCAUACCAGAAGCUAUCCUCUGAAAACAUUAUGGAGUCCCUGUCAUUAUUAUUUAUUUAUUUUGCAGAUCAGUUUAUGCAGAGAUAUUCAAGUGAUAUUGUAAAAUUCAGGAAGGAUUUUGCUUUAGAUGAUCUUGUUAGGUUUUCUCUCUCUUUAUGAGAUACACAACUUUUCUACAUUGUUAUCCAACAAUGCAAACCCUCAAAAAAAAAAAAAAAAAAAAAAAGCUGUUUUUUUCUGGGGUAAAGGUAAGUUGUUGAUGGAUUUGGGGUUGGGCAACUACAGAGAGUACUCCGACAGCUUCUAAAAAGCAAAAUUCCUCACAGGAUGAAAGAUAUGCAUAAGGGGCACGUAGCAAAUGACAUUUAAUUCUUGCAUUGGGAACAAAAUGGUGACAAAAUGAACAAAUCACAACUUAUUGAUAAUUUGGUUCUACUUAAAAUAUAAACCUUCAGCUUAAAAACAACGACAACAAAAUUGUGACAAAAUAAAACUUAUCUGUAGUGAAACUGUGGCUUACAUUUAUGUUACUAUUUCCAAAGCUUCAAGAUUUAUAACACCUCCUGCUGCUGAAGGCAGACUCUGCUCCUCUAAGCCAGGCAUCAGACAGUUCGCCCAACAGGAGAGCGUGUGAAGCGAGGACAGCAGGAUAUUAACCUUGUCAUCCAUGACAGAGUUGUUUGUAUCUCUCUUCUCUCCACAGAAAAUUCUGGUAUGCCUCCUCCUCGCCGGCCCCAAACUCAACCACUUCAGUGUGAUCUUUCUCUUUCCGGUUAGAAAUAUGAAGUUCAGCAUCUGGGCAAAGUAUCCAUCUCUCUGAUGGAAAUAUUUCAUAGCUAAAAGGCAUAGCAAAACUGUAAAAUGCAGGUAAGGCAUUGGUGAUGAGCACUGUGCAGCAGAAAAGAAAAAAGCAGUGUCGAAAAGCAUGAAAAUAAGACCCUUCCAAUCUCCAGCCAUGACUGAAUUUUAACAUGAGGUAAGACUGAGACUUCUUGUAUUUCAUUCUUUUCUCUUCACAUAUUUUUUUUACCCCAAAUUUACUUUUCUUGUAUUCCACCCUGAUCUAUAAAUGUUUGGUCCCAUUGAUAAGAAAGCAUUACUGAGCUGUGAAACUGCAGGCAGUGGAAACCAUGAACUAAAUAAACAGGGCAAAUAAAAAGCCUGUUGUAAUAACAUUCUGGGUGUUGAAGUGUCUUCAUGCUCAAGACAACCAAGGAAAAUAUAAAGCAAGGAAAUGAAAAGCAUCUCCUUUAAAGAACCUCAACUUUUCUGUGACUGCAGAUAUUAAAAAAAAAAAAAAAAAAAAUCACUACUAUAAAGACAAUUAUCUAGACGGAAAUAUUCUAAGGAAAUUUCUUUUUCUUAAUAUAAUUUUUUCUUUUUCUUGUCUUAUACACCAGGAGAACUAACCGGCAGAACACACUGCACUGUUCACCAUUGCAACCGCUGACUUGUUGGGAAGAACCAUCCCUUGAAAUAGAUGGUCAUGUUGCUUUGAUCCAGCAAGUCUUCGGGACACACCUACUCCUGUCUUCAGACACUUGAGUAAUCUCACUGAAUGCCAUCCAGCAAAGACCACUGAGCUACUAGUCAGGGAAGUAACAACUUUUGGCCAUCAGGUACUAGCUACUGCAGUUUCAAGUACUGGUAUCUUCACAGAGAGGCAUUUGUUUUUUUUCAGCGUCCUUGCUUUGAUCUUCAGUUACCAAGCAAUCUAAUAUUCAUUAGAUAGAAAAUGCUAUUUUCUGUUACUAUUGUACUUUCAGGUAUUGUACUCCAGGUGAAGGGAUGCCAUUUUGCUGUAAAACCCCUUGACUUUUAUCACUGCUUCAGGGAGCUUGAAAGCCAGAUUAAAAAAAAAAAAAAAAAAAAAAAAAAAA
Long non-coding RNA from Oxyura jamaicensis (ruddy duck), 2434 nucleotides. RefSeq lists it as uncharacterized. The record is from RefSeq and is a predicted model, not a curated record. The transcript is spliced from 3 exons. Lineage: Eukaryota; Metazoa; Chordata; Aves; Anseriformes; Anatidae.